UAGCAGUGAGGAAGGUGGGUAUGUUAAUAGCAUAUUCAUUUGACGUAGCUGCAGAAGAAGCACCGGCUAACUCCGUGCCAGCAGCCGCGGUAAUACGGAGGGGUGCGAGCGUUAAUCGGAAUUACUGGGCGUAAAGCGCAUGCAGGUGGUUUGUUAAGUCAGAUGUGAAAGCCCCGGGGCUCAACCUCGGAAUUGCAUUUGAAACUGGCAAACUAGAGUACUGUAGAGGGGGGUAGAAUUUCAGGUGUAGCGGUGAAAAUGCGUAGAGAUCUGAAGGAAUACCCGGUGGCGAAGGCGGCCCCCUGGACAGAUACUGACACUCAGAUGCGAAAGCGUGGGGAGCAAACAGGAUUAGAUACCCCUGGUAG
RNAcentral lists this ribosomal RNA (368 nucleotides) under uncultured bacterium. Its description in RNAcentral is "bacterial SSU rRNA". It matches the Rfam family "Bacterial small subunit ribosomal RNA", at positions 434 to 793 of the family's 1533-position model. The record is from RNAcentral.